RNAcentral lists this ribosomal RNA (493 nucleotides) under uncultured bacterium. RNAcentral's name for it is "partial 16S ribosomal RNA". It matches the Rfam family "Bacterial small subunit ribosomal RNA", at positions 29 to 523 of the family's 1533-position model. The record is from RNAcentral.
AUUGAACGCUGGCGGCAUGCUUUACACAUGCAAGUCGAACGGUAACAGGUUAAGCUGACGAGUGGCGAACGGGUGAGUAAUGCAUCGGAACGUGCCCGAUCGUGGGGGAUAACACUUCGAAAGAAGUGCUAAUACCGCAUACGAUCUGAGGAUGAAAGCGGGGGACCGUAAGGCCUCGCGCGAUCGGAGCGGCCGAUGGCAGAUUAGGUAGUUGGUGGGGUAAAGGCUCACCAAGCCGACGAUCUGUAGCUGGUCUGAGAGGACGACCAGCCACACUGGGACUGAGACACGGCCCAGACUCCUACGGGAGGCAGCAGUGGGGAAUUUUGGACAAUGGGCGCAAGCCUGAUCCAGCAAUGCCGCGUGCAGGAAGAAGGCCUUCGGGUUGUAAACUGCUUUUGUACGGAGCGAAAAGGCUCCCUCUAAUACAGGGGGCUCAUGACGGUACCGUAAGAAUAAGCACCGGCCAACUACGUGCCAGCCGCCGCAGUAA